GGGUUGUGAGGUUAAGCGACUAAGCGUACACGGUGGAUGCCUAGGCAGUCAGAGGCGAUGAAGGGCGUGCUAAUCUGCGAUAAGCGUCGGUAAGGUGAUAUGAACCGCAACAACCGAUGAUACCCGAAUGGGGAAACCCAGUGUGAUAGGUCACACUAUCAUGUCAUGAAUACAUAGUGGCAUGAGGCGAACCGGGGGAACUGAAACAUCUAAGUACCCCGAGGAAAAGAAAUCAACCGAGAUUCCCCCAGUAGCGGCGAGCGAACGGGGAACAGCCCGGAACCUGAAUCAGUUUGUGCAUUAGUGGAAGCGUCUGGAAAGACGCAGGGUACAGGGUGAUACUCCCGUACACAAAAAUGCACUUGCUGUGAGUUCGAUGAGUAGGGCGGGACACGUGACAUCCUGUCUGAAUAUGGGGGGACCAUCCUCCAAGGCUAAAUACUCCUGACUGACCGAUAGUGAACCAGUACCGUGAGGGAAAGGCGAAAAGAACCCCGGCGAGGGGAGUGAAACAGAACCUGAAACCGUGUACGUACAAGCAGUGGGAGCACCUUCGUGGUGUGACUGCGUACCUUUUGUAUAAUGGGUCAGCGACUUAUAUUCUGUAGCAAGGUUAACCGAAUAGGGGAGCCGCAGGGAAACCGAGUCUUAACUGGGCGCUAAGUUGCAGGGUAUAGACCCGAAACCCGGUGAUCUAGCCACGGGCAGGUUGAAGGUUGGGUAACACUAACUGGAGGACCGAACCGACUAAUGUUGAAAAAUUAGCGGAUGACUUGUGGCUGGGGGUGAAAGGCCAAUCAAACCGGGAGAUAGCUGGUUCUCCCCGAAAGCUAUUUAGGUAGCGCCUCGUGAGUUCAUCUUCGGGGGUAGAGCACUGUUUUGGCUAGGGGGUCAUCCCGGCUUACCAACCCAAUGCAAACUGCGAAUACCGAAGAAUGUUAUCACGGGAGACACACGGCGGGUGCUAACGUCCGUCGUGAAGAGGGAAACAACCCAGACCGCCAGCUAAGGUCCCAAAGUCAUGGUUAAGUGGGAAACGAUGUGGGAAGGCAUAGACAGCCAGGAUGUUGGCUUAGAAGCAGCCAUCAUUUGAAGAAAGCGUAAUAGCUCACUGGUCGAGUCGGCCUGCGCGGAAGAUGUAACGGGGCUAAACCAUGCACCGAAGCUGCGGCAGCGGCGCGCAAGCGUUGUUGGGUAGGGGAGCGUUCUGUAAGCCGUCGAAGGUGAGCUGUGAGGCUUGCUGGAGGUAUCAGAAGUGCGAAUGCUGACAUAAGUAACGAUAAAGCGGGUGAAAAGCCUGCUCGCCGGAAGACCAAGGGUUCCUGUCCAACGUUAAUCGGGGCAGGGUGAGUCGACCCCUAAGGCGAGGCCGAAAGGCGUAGUCGAUGGGAAACGGGUUAAUAUUCCCGUACUCGGUGUUACUGCGAAGGGGGGACGGAGAAGGCUAUGUUAGCCGGGCGACGGUUGUCCCGGUUUAAGCAUGUAGGCGGAGAGUUUAGGUAAAUCCGGACUCUUAUCAACGCUGAGGUGUGAUGACGAGGCAUUACGGUGCUGAAGUAACAAAUGCCCUGCUUCCAGGAAAAGCCUCUAAGCAUCAGGUAACAUCGAAUCGUACCCCAAACCGACACAGGUGGUCAGGUAGAGAAUACCAAGGCGCUUGAGAGAACUCGGGUGAAGGAACUAGGCAAAAUGGUGCCGUAACUUCGGGAGAAGGCACGCUGUCGAUAGGUGAAACCCCUCGCGGGUGGGAGCUGAAGGCAGUCGAAGAUACCAGCUGGCUGCAACUGUUUAUUAAAAACACAGCACUGUGCAAACACGAAAGUGGACGUAUACGGUGUGACGCCUGCCCGGUGCCGGAAGGUUAAUUGAUGGGGUUAUCCGCAAGGAGAAGCUCUUGAUCGAAGCCCCGGUAAACGGCGGCCGUAACUAUAACGGUCCUAAGGUAGCGAAAUUCCUUGUCGGGUAAGUUCCGACCUGCACGAAUGGCGUAAUGAUGGCUAGGCUGUCUCCACCCGAGACUCAGUGAAAUUGAACUCGCUGUGAAGAUGCAGCGUACCCGCGGCAAGACGGAAAGACCCCGUGAACCUUUACUACAGCUUGACACUGAACAUUGAGCCUUGAUGUGUAGGAUAGGUGGGAGGCUUUGAAGCGUGGACGCCAGUCUGCGUGGAGCCAACCUUGAAAUACCACCCUUUAACGUUUGAUGUUCUAACCUAGCGCCGUAAUCCGGCGCGGGGACAGUGUCUGGUGGGUAGUUUGACUGGGGCGGUCUCCUCCUAAAGAGUAACGGAGGAGCACGAAGGUUAGCUAAUCACGGUCGGACAUCGUGAGGUUAGUGCAAUGGCAUAAGCUAGCUUGACUGCGAGAGUGACGGCUCAAGCAGGUGCGAAAGCAGGUCAUAGUGAUCCGGUGGUUCUGAAUGGAAGGGCCAUCGCUCAACGGAUAAAAGGUACUCCGGGGAUAACAGGCUGAUACCGCCCAAGAGUUCAUAUCGACGGCGGUGUUUGGCACCUCGAUGUCGGCUCAUCACAUCCUGGGGCUGAAGUGGGUCCCAAGGGUACGGCUGUUCGCCGUUUAAAGUGGUACGCGAGAAUGGCACUGCCCGGUAGCUAAGUGCGGAAAAGAUAAGCGCUGAAAGCAUCUAAGCGCGAAACUUGCCUCGAGAUGAAUUCUCCCUAGGUCCUUGAGACCUCUGAAGGGACGUUGAAGACUACGACGUUGAUAGGCCGGGUGUGUAAGCGCAGCGAUGCGUUGAGCUAACCGGUACUAAUGACCCGUGAGGCUUAAUCUUACAACGCCAGAAGCGUUCUG
This 2811-nucleotide ribosomal RNA is filed under the name Candidatus Erwinia dacicola. RNAcentral describes it as "23S ribosomal RNA". It matches the Rfam family "Bacterial large subunit ribosomal RNA". The record is from RNAcentral. Lineage: Bacteria; Pseudomonadati; Pseudomonadota; Gammaproteobacteria; Enterobacterales; Erwiniaceae.